RNAcentral lists this microRNA precursor (64 nucleotides) under Marmota monax (woodchuck). The record is from RNAcentral. Lineage: Eukaryota; Metazoa; Chordata; Mammalia; Rodentia; Sciuridae.
UUAUGGAUGAGCAAAGAAAGUGGUUUCUUGAAAUGAAAUCUACUUCCCAUGAAGAUGUUAUAAA